AUACGGAGGGUGCAAGCGUUAAUCGGAAUUACUGGGCGUAAAGCGUGCGUAGGUGGUUUGUUAAGUUAGAUGUGAAAGCCCCGGGCUCAACCUGGGAACUGCAUUUGAAACUGGCAUACUAGAGUAUAGGAGAGGAAAGUGGAAUUUCAGGUGUAGCGGUGAAAUGCGUAGAUAUCUGAAGGAACAUCAAUGGCGAAGGCAGCUUUCUGGACUAAUACUGACACUGAGGUACGAAAGCGUGCGUAGCAAACAGGAUUAGAAACCCCAGUAGUCC
RNAcentral lists this ribosomal RNA (274 nucleotides) under uncultured bacterium. RNAcentral's name for it is "partial 16S ribosomal RNA". It matches the Rfam family "Bacterial small subunit ribosomal RNA", at positions 523 to 796 of the family's 1533-position model. The record is from RNAcentral.